CAAGAAUUCAUAAAAGGAGUUUGUCCUACCCCCCUCUGCCUUGGGAUCUCAAGGUCCCUGUUUUCCUACUCCUGUCAAUCGCCGGACACGGCACCACACCUACCCCCCACCAAGGUUUGUUGUGAGUGUUUCCAAUGAGGUCCAGAAGGAGGCACCUGGGUCAUAGAGAUUAAUGAUGAUAAGUUUUAUAUUAUGAAGGGUUCCCAUCACCAUUACAUAUCGC
Non-coding RNA from Pelobates cultripes (western spadefoot toad), 223 nucleotides. NCBI's taxonomy places the organism in Eukaryota, Metazoa, Chordata, Amphibia, Anura, Pelobatidae. The record is from the annotation of a GenBank genome assembly.